Molecule: ribosomal RNA, 370 nt
Filed under: uncultured bacterium
Lineage: Bacteria
Description: bacterial SSU rRNA
Rfam family: Bacterial small subunit ribosomal RNA
Source: RNAcentral
AACGAACGCUGGCGGCAGGCCUAACACAUGCAAGUCGAACGCCGUAGCAAUACGGAGUGGCAGACGGGUGAGUAACACGUGGGAACGUACCCUUCGGUUCGGAAUAACUCAGGGAAACUUGAGCUAAUACCGGAUACGUCCGAGAGGAGAAAGAUUUAUCGCCGAGGGAUCGGCCCGCGUCUGAUUAGCUUGUUGGUGAGGUAACGGCUCACCAAGGCGACGAUCAGUAGCUGGUCUGAGAGGAUGAUCAGCCACAUUGGGACUGAGACACGGCCCAAACUCCUACGGGGAGGCAGCAGGUGGGGAAUAUUGGACAAUGGGCGCAAGCCUGAUCCAGCCAUGCCGCGUGAGUGAUGAAGGCCCUAGGGUU